Molecule: ribosomal RNA, 232 nt
Filed under: uncultured bacterium
Lineage: Bacteria
Description: partial 16S ribosomal RNA
Source: RNAcentral
CUGCUGCCUCCCGUAGGAGUCUGGGCCGUGUCUCAGUCCCAAUGUGGCCGUUCAACCUCUCAGUCCGGCUACUGAUCGUCGCUUUGGUGGGCCAUUACCCCGCCAACUGGCUAAUCAGACGCGAGCUCAUCUUUGGACGAUAAAUCUUUGGCAGCAAAAUCAUGCGGUCUCGCUGCAUCAUGCGGUAUUAGCAGUCGUUUCCGGCUGUUAUCCCCCAUCCAAAGGCAGAUUG